UGUCCCUUAUAUGUAGAUUAAAUCUUAUUUAAAAUAGAAUUUAAAUUUAAUUUAAAUUUAUGAUAAGAUCAAAGGCUGUUUUGAAGCUGAACCAGAUUAUCCAAACAUUACAUGGGAUGCCACCUUUAAGAAGGGCUAGUUUUUGUGUGCCAAACCACUUAAAAUUUAGCAUGAAAAAACCUUAGAGAGUGUGUGAGAGAUCUAAGAAAGAUGGGUGGGUGUCUGUGCAUGAGAAAAAGAGGAAGAAGAUCCUCUUUGGGGUAUGAGAUCUAGGGUGGGGGUUCUAGGGUUUCCUAGUUCCUAUUUUGUGAGAAAAAAAAUAUAUAUUUUUCUUCUUCCACACCAUUUUCUCCUUGAAAAGCUCUUUUUUUUUAUCUGGAGGUAUCCAUUUGAUCUAAAAAAAGGAGUCUCCAUCAGCCAUCAAGAGCCUUCAUCGCAAGCUAGCACUCCUGAGGAGGAUGAUCUGCUCGAGGUUUCGAGUAGAUCACCUGUAGAGGCCAGACAUGCUGUGCAACUACUCAACAUUAGAAAGUACCUCCUAUCAUAUUCAUCAGAAAUGAUGAUCAUCAAUCCAUAAUC
This 579-nucleotide long non-coding RNA is filed under the name Elaeis guineensis (African oil palm). RNAcentral's name for it is "long non-coding RNA (EGUI_LNC047964)". The record is from RNAcentral. Lineage: Eukaryota; Viridiplantae; Streptophyta; Magnoliopsida; Arecales; Arecaceae.